This 21-nucleotide microRNA is filed under the name Homo sapiens (human). RNAcentral describes it as "hsa-miR-4666a-3p". Lineage: Eukaryota; Metazoa; Chordata; Mammalia; Primates; Hominidae. The record is from miRBase by way of RNAcentral.
CAUACAAUCUGACAUGUAUUU